GGAGGUGACGGGCGGCGGCAGGUGGGGGUCACAGCGGGCGCGGAGUCCCUGCCCUGGCAGCGCGGGCAGCCGGCACAUGUUGCAGCCAGAGCGGCCGGAGCAAGGCGGAGAGAGGCGCAGUCGGCUGGGCAGGGAUGAAAGUCAGGCCAGCUCAGCUCACCGCAAAGGGAUCCUCUCAGGAGCAUUGGGAGGUUAAAUCAGAGCUGGUGUCUCCUUGGUUAUUGGCCUAUGUGCCUAUAAGAAGCUGCCACGGAGUGCUGAAGGACAAAUAUGGGGAGUUUUCUCCUCCAGUAUUCCAUGCUGAUUUCCCUGUAAGCUUUUGGUGUAACUGGACAAUCUGGGCAGGCUCCAGGAAGCACAUCAUCAUUUAUAUCCAGGGAUUUAUCACUAAGGAUGCUUGCAACAAAAACGAGGACAAAAUUCUGUUUGAAGGAGUCUCCUCCCUGGUGGAAAACAGUGUUGUUUAUGCCUGCUGGAAAAAGGAGAUGCAUGUCUUUGCCACCUUUGCUCAGGCUGUCCAUGUUGUGCUGCUGAAGAGGUACUUGCCAAACCAGAGAGAUGCAAGAUUUAAAGGGAAGUACUACAUCUUCCAAGACCGGCAAGGUGCCUCUUCCUCCAAAGAUGACGUGAUUUCUGGAACUUCUGCUUCAAAACUGCCAAAGAAAGGUGGUGGUUUUCAGUCUGGCUGGGUUGAAAACUUUAGAGAUGCACUGGGCUUUGCAACCACACGUGGAAGCACCACUGUGCUAAGCAGUGAACGGAUGCAGGGAAGAGGGACCACUCUGGACACCACGGCUUGGGGAAGUCCUACAGAACUUCUCCCAUAUGAACGUGCAAGCACACAGGCUCUAAAAACAACAGCUCCUUGUGGGCUGGGGUCUGAGCUGCUGGAGGCUCAGGAAGCUCCAGGUAUAGGAACACCUGAGGAAAUAAUCCCCACUGCAGCUCAGGACAUCUGGGGGCAGAAUCCCUCCAUGAGUGAGGGCACUGCUGUGAGUUCUGCUCCUGUGCACAGUCUGCUUUUGGAAACUCCUUUGCUUGGUGCCUUCCAGGGAGCAGAACCUUUUUGGCAGACAGCAGAUGUGAGUCUGGAGAGCAGCCAGCCUGUCCCGAGCCCUACACUGAGGCCAAAAGGUCUGGGCCACCUGCAGCUUACCAUUAAACCAACAGGCACGGGUCGCCUGGCCUUGGCUGCACCCCCUGAGCCUCUGUCCCCUGGCACAGGUCCCACCAGGGACAGCCAGCUUAGCACAGCCAGCCUGGAGAAGGAAGGAAGCCCUGCCUUGCUGAGUGUCCCAGCUGAUGGCCUCACCAAGGACCUGAUGCCCAGCCUGAGGAACCCCUCUGAUGUGGCCACCAGGGACCAUUUGCAGCUACUUCCUGAGAGAAGCCAAAGCAGUCUGGGGCCUUUGUCCAUGCCUAAAGCUGAGCUAGGCACAACCGGCCUCCAGCAUACCAAGCUCAUGGAUAUUUUCUCACUGGGAAGUUUUGGGGGAGCUGUCAGGAGGAGAACAGCACUUCAUCCCACAGCACCAGCGCUAGACGUACCUGCUUUGGCAACAGGGCUGGAGCAUCCUCUCACAACUGUGCCUGCCCUAGGGACAGAAACCAUCCCUGUGCUGGUGACCUCCUCCACAGUGCCUGUCCCUGCAGGCUUUGGCUCUCUGGAUUUAAUUCCUGAAGCACCUCUUCCUCCACAAGUGGAGUCUCUGUCCAUGGUGCCUUUUCCAGCAGCUACUCUGGAUUGGGACCCUGUCAGUCUCAGGCAGAGGGACAUCUCCCCAGCUAGCCCAGGAGGACAGGAGAUGGUCUCCCCUUCACCACCUUGCCAUCCAUCAGUAGCCUCUGAACUGGGCACAGAUGGGUCCUCCAGAUGCUUUGGCCCUGGGAAGCAAAAGUCGGUGCUGGGACAGGGAAGUGAAACCUCAGCCUCUGUGGGCCUGAUGGCCGGGAGUCCCUCCCCUGUCAUUGUCACUGUCCCAGGGCCUGGUGUGAGGCUUGCUCAGCCUCAGGGCCAUGUCACUGGAGGCUCUGGGAUGACACCAGCUUCCCUGCCAGACACCAGAGAGGGGCAUGAGGUGCCUGUGCAGCAUCAGGACAGUGCUCUUAGUGACAAAUCAGCUUCUCUCUCCAGAUUCAGGGGGUUUAAAAAGCAGGGAGCCACAGAAGCUGUGCAAGUGGGUGCAGGACAGGGGACAGCUGCCUCCUUCAGCACCACUCCUGCACACCCUGAUCUGCCUGCAGCUCUGUCAGGAGAAACACUGCCAAGAGAUCAAAAGCCUUGGGAGCCCUCUGGUGUAACCAGAAACACCAAGAUGGCAGAAGGACAGCAAGGGAAACAUGCUGAGGUGUCAGAGCUGCCCCCUCCCUGGGUAACUGAGUACUUUCCCAUCAGGAGCUGCCACCUCAUCUUCCGGGAUGGGUCUGGCCUGUUCUACCUCCCACUGCAUGCUGACAUUAAUGCCAACAUCUGGUGCAACUGGACCAUCUGGGCAGGCCCCCAGAAGCACAUUGUCAUCUAUGUCCAAGGGUUCCAGGGGAACGAUGGCUGUGGCAACAACCAGGACAAGAUCAUCUUCCAGGGGGUCUCGUCAAGCGUGGAAACCAAAGUGGUGUUUGCCUGCCACAACCGAGGCACUCUGGUCUUUGCUGCACGAGCCACUGAGGUCCAGGUGUUGUUUCUGUCAGGGAGUGGUUCCAGCAGCCAUGAGUACAGGUAUUUUAGAGGGCAGUAUUAUGUAUUCAGAGACUCUGAAACUGUGGGCUCUUCAAGUGAUACCAUAGCAGCUCCCCAGGAGCCUGUCCAGGAGACCUCUAAAAAUGAGAGCUGGAGGACAGUAGUGACCAAAGGUUUAUUCUCCAUGCUGACAGCUCCUCCAGUCCCACCAGCUGCACCUGCUGGUGGCAGGAUCCAGCCUGGCAUUGUGAGCCCAGGAGAGGUGGGCCAACAAUCUCCUGAUCUCAUGGAAGAUGGCCAGUCUGGUGCUAACUGGAGUGAGCAUGGUCAGGAUGAAACCAGGCUGGAAAUGACCCUUGAGGACAGUGGCAGCAAGGGCAGAGAAAAUGAAGAUGGCAUGUUGGUGGAGCCAGCUCCAGCUGGGCAAGGCACUGGGGGCAGAGCUGAGCCACCCGCCUUGGAGCUGUCCCCUGGGACAGCCCUGGUCACCAUGGUCCCACGUCACCCAGCUGGUUCCCCUCGCUCAGAGAUGCCUAGCAGCAGUGUAGGUGUCUCUGACACAUCACCUACCCUGGGUCAGGCCAGUGGCAGCCACUCAGAAGUGCCAGCUGCUGCACAUCACACACGGACACCAGAGCUGGCAGAGCGACCAAUGAACACCAGCACAAAACCACCUCUCUACCCCUCUCCUGGUGUGACUGCUGCGGAUGCGAAAUCUCUGGGAGGGAGGACUGAAGAGCUCUUUGAUGUGCUGUUUGAAGUCACUGCUGAAAUCAAACCCAAGGAUUGGAUUCCUGAUGGUGAAAAUGAGUUCCAAAAGGGUCUGCUUGAAUCUCUGAAGAAUCAUAUCCAGAAGAACCUGAAGCUUUCUGCCAAUAGAGUCAGUGAAAUUAAGUUAAAGGAUGUCAAAAGGACAAAGGAUGCCAACCUGCUGCUCACCUUCUGGCUGCACCUGGAGCCAGAGGAGAGGAACGUGUCUCUGCUCGUGCGCUCACAGCUGGAGGAGCUGCUUGGCACCUCGGUGGGUGUGGAGAAGCUGCAGCUUGUUUCACUCUUCGUUGAAGAUGUGAACGAGUGCCAGGCUGGGCUUGACCUCUGUGGGGAGGAGGCAGAGUGCUUCAAUGGCGUGGGCACCUACCUGUGCCGCUGCAAGAAGGACUACGAGGACCAUUCUCCCAUCAAGUCCGGCACGCUCUGCAUCCGCGCUCCCCGAGCAGGGAUCAGCACCUUCCUCCGCCACGCUGACAUGCUGGCGGGGGCAGCCCUGGUGGCCGGCCUGGUGCUGCUGGUGGCCUUUGGUGGUCUCUGCGUCACGGCCCUGUGGGGCCAGGUCCCCGGGAGGAGCCCAAGGCCUGAGGAGGCGGCGGUGAGGGCCGCGGAGGAGCCAGCCAUGGAGGAGCCAGCCAUGGAGCUGCAGGGCCUGGGGGAGCUCCUGCAGCUCGAGCCCUUCCAGCUGAAGCUGCGGGCCAGGCCCCCCGAGUGGCUCUGGAGCGUCCGGGCCCACCCUGGCCAGGCGGGACCGCAGUUGCCAGAGCGGCCUCCCCCGCUCUGAGGGGGGCCGGGCCUCGGAGAGCCGUCCAGGUGCUCCUGCAUUUCCCCAGGUUUCUGCCGCAACCCCUGGCUGUGCCAACCCUUCUGCUGUGUUUUAUGGACCGUGAAUAUCCCACAACAGUGUUCCUCAUGUUGUAACUUAAUUUUUUUAAUGCUUGCUCAGCUUGAGGAACAAAAUGUUUGCUCCACCCUGCUGUAUGCUUGCUGAUUUACCCCUACUCGAGAUCUGCACAGGAAAAUUAAAAACUUGAUUUUUCUUUUAAAGAAAAAAGGAAAUAAGACGCUUUGGUGCUUAUUGUGAAAUUAAAAAUUAUUC
Molecule: long non-coding RNA, 4544 nt
Filed under: Serinus canaria (Common canary)
Lineage: Eukaryota; Metazoa; Chordata; Aves; Passeriformes; Fringillidae
Description: lncRNA (ENSSCAG00000000648.1)
Source: RNAcentral